This 434-nucleotide ribosomal RNA is filed under the name uncultured Lachnospiraceae bacterium. Its description in RNAcentral is "partial 16S ribosomal RNA". It matches the Rfam family "Bacterial small subunit ribosomal RNA", at positions 341 to 792 of the family's 1533-position model. Lineage: Bacteria; Bacillati; Bacillota; Clostridia; Lachnospirales; Lachnospiraceae. The record is from RNAcentral.
ACGGGAGGCAGCAGUGGGGAAUAUUGCACAAUGGGCGAAAGCCUGAUGCAGCGACGCCGCGUGAGUGAUGAAGUAUUUCGGUAUGUAAAGCUCUAUCCGCAGGGAAGAUAAUGACGGUACCUGACUAAGAAGCACCGGCUAAAUACGUGCCAGCAGCCGCGGUAAUACGUAUGGUGCAAGCGUUAUCCGGAUUUACUGGGUGUAAAGGGAGCGCAGGCGGUACGGCAAGUCUGAUGUGAAAGCCCGGGGCUCAACCCCGGUACUGCAUUGGAAACUGUCGAACUAGAGUGUCGGAGGGGUAAGUGGAAUUCCUAGUGUAGCGGUGAAAUGCGUAGAUAUUAGGAGGAACACCAGUGGCGAAGGCGGCUUACCGGACGAUAACUAACGCUGAGGCUCGAAAGCGUGGGGAGCAAACAGGAUUAGAUACCCUGGUA